CGUUUACCCGUAGCAAAUACUACCUAUCCGACUGCUUAGACCUAUCCGACGCUGAAUGGAGAGGGAGAAAGGAUAACAUCACACCGUGAAAUGAGACGUCAUAAUAUAUGCUCCAAGUACAGCUACGUUCCCAACUUUAGUUUCGAAUCGUUCGACCUGGACGACGAGAGGGAGGAAUGCGAGACUGAUCAUCUACUGAAGGGCGGGAAGCUGCGUCUGGAGGAAGCAUCCGGUAGGAAUCCGUGUGCCGGGCAACGGUACGGGGGCAGCCACGAGUUUAUCGCUUAAUACAAUUAAGCUUUUUCUCCCACUUUUCUACACUGUUAAUUUCUUGGUAGGUUAGAAUAGAAUUACCAUAACGGUUUGUGUUAUAAGCUACACUUCUGGCAUCACUGGAGCUGUCAUACGCUAUUCCCCAUACACACCGUGGUAUGCAAAGUGGGUUUAUUAUACAGGUGGGCUUAUCCCGAACAAAUUGACAGCCGUACUGUAGAAAAAUUAAAACGAAAUGACAGGAGGGGAUUCGAUCAUUUGUUGAUGCAUGCGUGUGAAUUCCAAUGGCUAUUUUGGUUGAUGUGUCGUAGUUUGGGUGAAAAACUACGUAUCACAAUCGAAUCCCCUCCUGUCAUUCGUUCGUACAAUAUGGCCUUCCCGCCAAACCUAUAAGCCCACCUAGUCUCUAUACCCACUUUGGUGGUAUGUGUUAACGGACAAACAUAGAAGGACGUAGUUGUACACCGAAGAACCCUGCACAGCAAAUGACACCAUACACCAAUAUGUCAAUCUGACGAAAUAUAUUUUUCUUUGCUUUUGUUAACUGAA
Long non-coding RNA from Anopheles arabiensis, 822 nucleotides. RefSeq lists it as uncharacterized. The record is from RefSeq and is a predicted model, not a curated record. NCBI's taxonomy places the organism in Eukaryota, Metazoa, Arthropoda, Insecta, Diptera, Culicidae. The transcript is spliced from 2 exons.